Molecule: ribosomal RNA, 837 nt
Filed under: Bacillus sp. W3-19
Lineage: Bacteria; Bacillati; Bacillota; Bacilli; Caryophanales; Bacillaceae
Description: bacterial SSU rRNA
Rfam family: Bacterial small subunit ribosomal RNA
Source: RNAcentral
CUAUACAUGCAGUCGAGCGGAGAUUUGAAAAGCUUGCUUUUCAAAUCUUAGCGGCGGACGGGUGAUUAACACGUGGGCAACCUGCCCUUGAGACGGGGAUAACUCCGGGAAACCGGAGCUAAUACCGGAUAACACAUAUCUUCGCAUGAGGAUAUGUUAGAAGGUGGCUUUUAGCUACCACUCAAGGAUGGGCCCGCGGCGCAUUAGCUAGUUGGUGAGGUAACGGCUCACCAAGGCGACGAUGCGUAGCCGACCUGAGAGGGUGAUCGGCCACACUGGGACUGAGACACGGCCCAGACUCCUACGGGAGGCAGCAGUAGGGAAUCUUCCGCAAUGGACGAAAGUCUGACGGAUCAACGCCGCGUGAGUGAUGAAGGUUUUCGGAUCGUAAAGCUCUGUUGUUAGGGAAGAACAAGUACCUGUUAAAUAAGCAGGUACCUUGACGGUACCUAACCAGAAAGCCACGGCUAACUACGUGCCAGCAGCCGCGGUAAUACGUAGGUGGCAAGCGUUGUCCGGAAUUAUUGGGCGUAAAGCGCGCGCAGGCGGUUCCUUAAGUCUGAUGUGAAAGCCCACGGCUCAACCGUGGAGGGUCAUUGGAAACUGGGGAACUUGAGUGCAGAAGAGGAGAGCGGAAUUCCACGUGUAGCGGUGAAAUGCGUAGAGAUGUGGAGGAACACCAGUGGCGAACGCGGCUCUCUGGUCUGUAACUGACGCUGAGGCGCGAAAGCGUGGGGAGCGAACAGGAUUAGAUACUCUGGUAGUCCACGCCGUAAACGAUGAGUGCUAACUGUUAGAUGGUUUUCGCCCUUUAGUGCUGCAGCACACGCAUUAAGC